Non-coding RNA from Phasianus colchicus (ring-necked pheasant), 3732 nucleotides. NCBI's taxonomy places the organism in Eukaryota, Metazoa, Chordata, Aves, Galliformes, Phasianidae. The record is from RefSeq and is a predicted model, not a curated record.
GCGAAGCAGCCUGGCCUCUCGAAGGACCUCCUGCCCACCAGGAGCCCCGUGCUGGCGGAGGAGGCUGUCAGUCCUUCCACCGUAGCAGAACACAUCUUCUGAAGAUAUUUGAACAUGAUAGCCAAGAAGACUGAACAGUUUUUGAAGAAGCAGCGGACCAUGCAGCUGAAGAGAUGCAAUAGGUUUUCAGAGAACUGAAUCCUUGCACAUCCUUCAGAUGAAUAAGCCCACCCUUCUGAAGAGUUUGGUUCAGGCUUUGUACAUCAAACAAACUUCAGUGAAGUUAUUUGUGCCUCACACAAGUGGUAAGAGGAAAGAGAAGAAAGUUAUUCAUAUUUAAUGCUAUUUUGUGCCAGAUGUUUUGCUGGUAGAAAUCCAUAGCUCCACAGGCACCAAUUUCUUCAGGAUCUGGAAUGUCUGGCCCAAUUUCUUUCUCAUUCUGGAUGGUCUAUGAAAGAAACCACUUUAUUUUGCAAUAUUGAAUAUUCUUGCUGGGAAGCUAUAAGCAAAAACAAAAUAAUGAGAGACAGGAUCUCUAAUAAGCUUCCUGUCACGAAGCUCUGGUUCUAUUGAAGCAUAUGUGUUUGCUGACUUGUUUCCAAAAGGUUUUUUGAGUGGUGGUGAUUAGUUUCUGUUGUACUGAUGUUAUCUCUCUGCAGUCUCAUUCAAUACAAGUAGUUCUGUAAACAGUGAAGUCUUUUUUUCCUACAGAUUUGUAUCUUGGAUUGUGUUUCAGCAUGGAUUCUCUGAUGUUUAAUGGGGAUCGAGUUCAUGUUUAGCCAAUUUCUUCAAUGAGGGAUGAAUAAUCUGUCUUUUUGGCCAUCUAUUUUUACAAAAUUUGCUGGAAUUAAGUAUCUUCAACGCUCUCUGUCAAAGUUGACUGGAAUUUAUGAACAAGUUUUUGAGUUAUUCAGGGCUGUCCAGUGUAGAUAAAAGAGUGUCAUUUUCUUACAAAAACAGAAUGUAAAAAUGCAUUCUUAAAGUAUUUUGUCCUUGUAUACUACCUGCUUGAUUCUAUUCUAUUUGUGACCAGUCAUAUAGGAUACGUCUUAUUUGUAAAGCUGUAUUAAGGUAUGAUGUGUUUUUUUGCCCUGUUGAGUGCAUAUUAAAGCAUCCUUAGUUUAUUCUUGUCAUGGGCCAGAUUGUAUUUUUUUUGGUCCUUGUUGGAAUAUGGGAAAAGAUGCCACACAUUUAACUUCUGUGUUUACACAGGUGAGUGCAGACAAAGGACGUAUGGUUGCUCGUUUAGUAUCAGAGAUUCCCAUUUCUGGUUUGGAAAGGAAGAAAGGAAACACAGAAUUGAAUAUGACCUUUUAGCUUGCUGAGUCCAGUUUCGUGCUUCUGCAGGUAGCUACGUUCUCAAUCCUUCUCACAAGCAGAUAGUGCUAUUCAAAAAUGUACUCUUUCCUCCUCGUUGUGUCUCCUAUCUUCCCAGUUACCUAUUUUAUUUGGGAAAUUGCUCUAGAAUCUCCUAAUUUUGACUGGAAGAAACCCACUGAUUUCUGUGGUCAACUUAUUCCAGAAAAAAAAGACAUCUAUCCAAUUUUUUGUUUACAUCUGUAGGUAAGACAGAUCUGGGUGUCUCUUUAUCUUUUUAUCCUUCUGUCAAGUUACUUUGCUUAAUGUAAAUGAACAAUUAAUUUAAAAUAGAAAAAGACAGUAAUUUAAAAGGGAGAAGAAGUGGAUCAGACAAGAAGGUGAGUGGAUCAGACACGAAUGUGAUGUGUUCAUUAUGCCAUCUGUUUAUGGUAAAAGAGGAGCUGUCACACGGAAACAGAAUAAGAGGUAGAGAUCAGGCCUCUCUCAUCUUUCCUUGCAAAAUAGCCAGAUUUCUUCACUUGAUGACAGCAGACUAAGCCCUUGAUUCUGAGCUGAAUCUCUGAAUGAUCCCAAGAAAGACAGCAAUGGAAAUUUUAAACCCCAAUUCUGGAACUGUGAUUGUUCCUGCUGUGAAUUUUUUCCUUCAAAAGAUGUUGUCAGCUGGAACAAGUGUCUGCAUUAUGCAGUGACCACGUUUUGGUGCUCGGCAGCCACUCUUAAACACUGGACACAGCCUUUCACAGAUACUGGCUGCAGUGACUUCCUUCAGAUUCUUCAGGUCCAAAUGAUUUCUGAACAAUGAUCAUCCCGGUUCCCUAAGAAAACAUAUCAGCAGCCAAAGAAAACUGGAGCGAAAUGUGGCUAAACUCAUUAGUUUCCACAUUGAUUCUUUGCCUCCUUUAAGCCUCAGCUGGUCCCAGUGGUCCACAGGGGUGUGCAUGGUAGGCAGCCUUGACGUAGGAACAUCACCCUGUGCCUGGCAGAUAAAGAUUGGAAGGGAUAUUUCCUGUUUUCUGUCCCCUUUUGGGACUGGCAAGAGGAACAGCACAGAACAUGAGCAAGUCUUCCAAAUCUUUGUUAACUGGAAGGAUGGUGGAUGUUGGCCAGUGGUGUCAGGAUGUAAAAGAAUAAGCAAAUCAGAGUCUCAGGAGCCUAACAGGAAAUGCAGACGACUGGGAGUGAGUGUCCCAACUUUUUUUUUUCUCUUUUUUUCUUUUUUUUUUGAAUCUUAGACUUUAGCAACUGAUGUGACAACAAGCAACCACAGCCACAAAACAUACAUUUGAGAACAGAUGUGCAUACAUAUCUCUGAUCUCAACAGAAGUGUUGUUCAUGAUCUCAUGGCCAUGUGAUGCCACCUUCAUAUUUAAUUUUGGUUGUUAUUUUGGCUAUAAGAGUACGCUGUCUACUUGUGUGGCUGCAAACUCAGAUCUGUGUAGGUCUGUGUUACCUAAGAUUUAAUACAUUCUUCCCAUAUUUGCACACCUCUCCACAGUUUGUGGAGAAAUUAAAGGUCCAAAGUUCAGCUUUAUGUUAAUAAAUCCAGAUAUACCCAAUAUUUACCUUCCAUGGUCAAAGAAACUGCCCCAAGAGUUGGUUGUCCUGCUGCAUUUAGAAGGUGUCUGUGACUGUGUGCUGCAGAACUUCAUGCAACCUUAGGGGAAAAAAAAAAAAGAAAAAAUAAUAAAAAAAAGCCAAGUGUAUGCUCAAUGGAAAACAGAUGGAUUUUUCAUUAGAUAUAACUUUUAAUGAUCUGCUUUAAAAGUAAAGAUUUGCCAUUCCGAGUAGAAGAAGGGCCUCCUCAUAGCUUUGUGUAGAUCCCAGGAUCAUUAUCUUAGCUACAGAUAGAAUUGCAAGAUCCUUGUAUCAUUAGGAGUACCAGUCAGACAUCUCUGCCACUGCUAGACUUCCAAACACAGCAAAACACUUUGGGGGCCUUAAUAAUAUUUUUCCCUAAGACGUGUCUUCAUUUAAUAAUGCAGAGUUGUUAUGGGGCUGGCAGUUGGUUACUCGGUUUCUGGAGUAUUCACCAUUUAACCUAAGGUCAGAAUAAAAAUCUUUGAAUACUUAUUGCAAGACAGAUCUUUUGCUUCACUGAGGGACUUGUCUUCACAGUCAACCAUGGUGUGACUCCUCCAAGUGGUCUUACUGGCUGUGAGAGGUGGCCCCAGCAGUCUAGAAGGCCUGAAGACCCUUCCUGAAAAGAUGAACCCUGCACUGUGUGCCUAUGGCAGCAGAGGAGCAGUCUGACAGAAUGGCAUCUGAUGUGGAAAUGCAUAUGAAACAAAAGUGUGGAACUGAAUUCCUUCAUGUGAAAAAAGUUGCACCCAAUGACAUUAACUGAUGCUUGCUGAAGAUUUAUGGAGACCAAACAGUGGAUGUGAGCACAGUGAGGCAGUGAGUUUCAGUGCA